CGGAUGCAGAUGUGACCAAUUUGCUUCCCCGACACAAAGCACGCCGAAGCAGGGGCGAGGAGGCGAGGAAGGGCUGUGAAGUCGAUUUGCACAGCAGAACCAGUGAGAAGAGCGCUGCACUAUUUAUUCGCUUGCUUCCACCGGGGUCUUCAGUGUCCCAGCAAUGAGCCCUACAACACGGCAUCCGAUUAUACACAGAGCUCCAGGAUGAAGCCCUGCUUUCUCUGUCAUUACGGACGCAAAGCGUGGCUGUGCGAGCUGAGUAGCGCGAAUCACAGCGUGGCACUGCACACAGCAGGUCGGGGAGCACCUACUUCCCCUGCUGCCAUGAAUUGACAUCCCGGUGGACUCUGGAUGGAUUGUGACACAGAGCCGUUUCCAUCUAAUCCUGACCCUGAGUGGGAGACGUGGGGAUUUGUGGGCGCAGAAGCUGCGGGGAUGCUCAGCGUUCUGCAGAGCUCACAGCACUCGUGGUCCUCGAUGGUAACCGUGCAGUCACUGAGCGCGGGAGUGCUCCGAGCUAAGAGAUCUGUGGUCUCAGAUCUGGAGAACCUUCAAGAAGAAGUCUGAAUGGAAGCAGGAGUAGAGGAAGCCACCCCCUCCUCAGCACACGUCCCUCAUUCGGCAUCAUCACGCAGACAGGAAUAAUGCGCUGCCCUGCUAUCGCACUGCGCUCUCCUUUGGGACCGCAGGCAAACCAGGUUACCCUUACUGUCUUGCAAUCCCAACCUGUAGAACAGAGAUAGUGCUGCCUGCAGUAAGUGCCUGCCAAGUGCUUGAACGUGAGGGCUGUUACUGCAAAAUACCAUGCAGCUCUCACCUCGGCUGCCUGGGGCCGGCACAUGGGGCACAGCGGAGCUCACGCACACCAGCAGUGCUUUCCUGCAUGAUUUCCUGCUCCUGCGAUUCAAGAAAAGCAAACCGAAACAAAGCAA
This 935-nucleotide long non-coding RNA is filed under the name Gallus gallus (chicken). RNAcentral's name for it is "lncRNA (ENSGALG00010003484.1)". Lineage: Eukaryota; Metazoa; Chordata; Aves; Galliformes; Phasianidae. The record is from RNAcentral.